RNAcentral lists this ribosomal RNA (274 nucleotides) under uncultured bacterium. RNAcentral describes it as "partial 16S ribosomal RNA". It matches the Rfam family "Bacterial small subunit ribosomal RNA", at positions 523 to 796 of the family's 1533-position model. The record is from RNAcentral.
AUACGGAGGGUGCAAGCGUUAAUCGGAAUUACUGGGCGUAAAGCGUACGUAGGCGGUUAUUUAAGUCAGAUGUGAAAGCCCCGGGCUUAACUUGGGAACUGCAUUUGAAACUGGGUAACUAGAGUUUAGUAGAGGGGAGUGGAAUUUCAGGUGUAGCGGUGAAAUGCGUAGAGAUCUGAAGGAACACCAGUGGCGAAGGCGACUCCCUGGACUAAAACUGCCGCUGAGGUACGAAAGCGUGGGUAGCAAACAGGAUUAGAAACCCUAGUAGUCC